GACAGAGGGUGCAAACGUUGCUCGGAAUCACUGGGCGUAAAGGGCGUGUAGGCGGGUAGGCAAGUCGGGCGUGAAAUCCCUGAGCUCAACUCAGGAACUGCACUCGAAACUGCUUAUCUUGAGUGCCGGAGAGGAAAGCGGAAUACCUGGUGUAGAGGUGAAAUUCGUAGAUAUCAGGUGGAACACCAGUGGCGAAGGCGGCUACACUGGCUCGUAACUGACGCUCAGGCGCGACAGCGUGGGGGAUCAAACAGG
RNAcentral lists this ribosomal RNA (255 nucleotides) under uncultured bacterium. RNAcentral's name for it is "partial 16S ribosomal RNA". It matches the Rfam family "Bacterial small subunit ribosomal RNA", at positions 524 to 776 of the family's 1533-position model. The record is from RNAcentral.